CCUACGGGGGGCUGCAGUGGGGAAUAUUGGGCAAUGGGCGCAAGCCUGACCCAGCAACGCCGCGUGAAGGAAGAAGGCUUUCGGGUUGUAAACUUCUUUUGUCAGGGACGAAGCAAGUGACGGUACCUGACGAAUAAGCCACGGCUAACCACGUGCCAGCAGCCGCGGUAAUACGUAGGUGGCAAGCGUUAUCCGGAUUUACUGGGUGUAAAGGGCGUGUAGGCGGGACUGCAAGUCAGAUGUGAAAACCACGGGCUCAACCUGUAGCCUGCAUUUGAAACUGUAGUUCUUGAGUACUGGAGGGGCAGACGGAAUUCCGAGUGUAGCGGUGAAAUGCGUAGAUAUUGGGAGGAAAACCAGUGGCGAGGGCGGUCUGCUGGACAGCACCUGACGCUGAGGCGCGAAAGCGUGGGGAGCAAACAGGAUUAGAUACCCUGGUAGUC
RNAcentral lists this ribosomal RNA (443 nucleotides) under uncultured bacterium. RNAcentral's name for it is "partial 16S ribosomal RNA". It matches the Rfam family "Bacterial small subunit ribosomal RNA", at positions 338 to 795 of the family's 1533-position model. The record is from RNAcentral.